GAGUUUGAUCGUGGCUCAGAUUGAACGCUGGCGGUAUGCUUAACACAUGCAAGUCGAACGGUAACAGGAGAGAGCUUGCUCUUUUGCUGACGAGUGGCGGACGGGUGAGUAAUGCGUAGGAAUCUGCCUAGUAGUGGGGGACAACGUGUGGAAACGCACGCUAAUACCGCAUACGCCCUACGGGGGAAAGCGGGGAUCUUCGGACCUCGCGCUAUUAGAUGAGCCUACGUUAGAUUAGCUAGUUGGUGGGGUAAAGGCCUACCAAGGCGACGAUCUAUAGCUGGUCUGAGAGGAUGAUCAGCCACACUGGGACUGAGACACGGCCCAGACUCCUACGGGAGGCAGCAGUGGGGAAUAUUGGACAAUGGGCGAAAGCCUGAUCCAGCAAUACCGCGUGUGUGAAGAAGGCCUGAGGGUUGUAAAGCACUUUCAAUUGUGAAGAAAUAUUUAAGGUUAAUAACCUUAAAUUUUGACGUUAACUUUAGUAAGAAGCACCGGCUAACUACCGUGCCAGCAGCCGCCGCGGU
Molecule: ribosomal RNA, 527 nt
Filed under: uncultured microorganism
Description: bacterial SSU rRNA
Rfam family: Bacterial small subunit ribosomal RNA
Source: RNAcentral